UUAGCAACCUCUAGAUUGUGUCAUUGACGCACGUUAUGUAAUUUAAGACAAUACAUUUUAAGUCGAGAUAUAGAAAAGCUAAAAUGAGUCACACUUUUAACAGAGCAAGUAAAACGAUUUUAUAGAGAGUUAGACCGUGAGGAGAUCCACCCUUCAGGUACUAUUUUAUAGUUUUAUAGUUCCGUGAAAAGUCUUCAGUGUUAUUUGUUUUAUUAGCUAUCUUUACAGUCGAUUUUAGCGAACAUUUUACUAUUAUAUUGUCUUUGGUAUUGUAAAAAUAUGAUCGGAAUGUGCAUGUUAUAUCUUUGUAAAUUUGUGACUUUUAGAAUUAAAUUAAAGGGAAUUCUCCUUGCGUGUCGCAAUUUGUCUCCCUGUCAUGCGUCCUUACCACGUAUGACGCCAGAUGACGGUCUGUGCGCAUCUGACACUGUAAAUUUGUGAUAUAGAUUAUAGUAUAUUAACACAAUAUAAGAUUAUAAUAGGACGAAGAAAAAGGCUAAAAUCUUACUAUAAUUACCGAAUACGAAUUAUCUGACUAAAUCCAGAUAAAUCAAUGACUGAAAUUUCCUCUCUGCUUAUGGACAUUUCUCUGUUCGGCUAUUAUCAAAUGUUUACAUUUCUACUGUAAUAUUUGGGCCAGUCCUGGACAAUACUGUUUCCUUUAAUUAAAAAUCUUAUGAAAGAGACGCGUAGUAACAAGUGAAUCGGUGCAAAGCGUAUCAACGUUUACAAGAAAGGACAAAUGUAAUGGCCUAUUUUAAAAACAUUACAAUAAACGUUUGUUAUAUAAACCGCGCUCGAGUGUGAAGAGAGCAUGCAUUUGCUUGGUUUCUUGACUUGACUGUAAGUAAGAAUGUUCUUGUAAAUUCGAAGCAAAGAAAAUAAACAAAAAUUAGCAAGUAUUUUGAACGUAAUAAUUCGCAAAAUUUAUGUUUUUAACGAAUAUUCCAGUAUUAUAUUAUUAAUAUACCCCCUCAGGCGCUAAAUUUUUGACGAGGCACGUGACCAGCCGCAGCCAGGGUCUUUCCCACUGAGCUAUACUAUAUUACUGGAGGACCUGCUCGGCAUUAAAAAGUGUCGCCAAAAACAUGGCGGAUUUCGGCCUUUGCUGACGCCAGAAUGACGCCAUAUGGUUCCUCCGGCUCAUGGUAAUUACCACUGACCAGGCUCAAUUUUGAGCCCGCUACGACUUUCACACCCCCAUGGUUCUUAUUAAAAUAUUUUAGCUUGUUGAAGUCUUUGCAGUAUAUUUUCGUAGUUUUUGAUUUUUUCAUAUUUUUUGGACCUUUGACCACUAGUUCAAAUGUGUGCAAGUCGUACACAUUAUAUUCUCGUCCUCAAGAGACAGAAAACCUCGAAAUACAUCCGCAAAGACGACAUUUCAAGCCGCAACUACAGGUAAAAUAUUUCUCAGUUCAUAACUUCACACACUCGAGCAAAUUUUCUACAAAAAUUGUUGGGUUUAACUGUGGUACAAUGUAUUAUAUUUUAGCCACAAGUAUGUAAAGCCCUCUAAAGCCUUGUUGUACAAAGUAAUCAACUUUCGUUUCAUUUAAAUCGUGAGCAAAAUGGUAUUUUGAUCUACUGUUUAACAUGCUCUAUUUGUUGCAUAUUUUAUGAUGUUUUGAAUAAGCCUGUAGUUUGUAUUUCAUAAUACUAUAUUUUCUGUAGGUGGCACGAAGCUGUGCAUUUUACAAAUAUCAAAUUAUCUUAAUUUGACCCUGGGGACUGAUUUUAUAAUGACAUGAAAGUACAGUAUGGCAGAUGGUGCUGUCUGAAGUGGGCAGAACUCAACUGCUGAUAAUAGUAAAAGUAUUAGCUAAGCGUGUCCAAAAGUGGGAGGAAGCUGAACCUCCCAUCUCUUCCAUUAGAGGUGUGGAUAUUUUCUUGAAUGACCCAAUCAUUUUGAAGUAACUGUAUAAUCAAGUUAUUCUGGUAUAAUUAUCACUUUGUAGUCCCAUGAGCUGUAACAUCACUUUGGCUGUUUGGCAUGUUUAUCUCUUUUCAAUUUUCUUUUAGUAGCGAUAACAGAUUACUACUACAGACACUGUAUUUCUACACAUUGUUACACCCAAAUAAGAUAUACACAUCAAUGUUAACUAUAUCAUGAUACAAUACAGCUGUUAACAGCAAGAACAUUUUUGCUUCAGUUCUUGUAUAUCACUUUGAUGCCUGUAAUAGAAAUGAGAAAUAAAGUUACUUUGUUUAUGAUUGUUUUAUUCUAUGGUGUGAAACUGUUUCAUGUACAUUUCAAAAUUUCUGGCAUCACCCCUACUUUGCAAGUUACAGCUCUGGCAGGCUGGAUUGGAACUGUUAGCUCUGGUGCACCACUAAUCUUGUAUAAAUCUGAAUUAACCCAUUAAGUGCCAUCGAUCUCCCCAAUUGAUGAGUAAAAUUAUCUGGUGUUAGACAGAGUAAAAUAAUCUGGCAUUAUACAGAGUAAAGUGAUAAAGUAGGCCGCAUCAGGGGGCAAAGCGACUCAUAACUAGACACAUAAACUCAUAACUAGACACAUAGACUAGUUAUAUAUUAACCAUUAAGCACCAGCACUCUCUACCUGAUGAGUAAAAUCAUCUGGCAUCAGACAGAGUAAAAUAAUAAAGUAGGUUGCAAUGCAACUCAAUGGGUUAACCUCUAAGGGACCUAAAUAAAUAUGGCUUUCUUGUCUAAACAUAAAUCAAGACUCCCAUGACAGAGGUAUUUUCUGAGUGAAGGAGGUUCGUUGUUUGGAGAUUUUUAUGAGGCAUAUAUAGAGGUUGACCCAUACUAGCAUUCAAGGUAAUUCCAAAGCAAGAAUGAUAUAAGUAUAAAUCAUGCAAAUUUGGGUAUGCACAAGUCGAUGGUAGCUCAAUGCUGACUGAAAUGUAGUGCACAACACCACAAAAAAAGCCUAACUACACAGCCAAUUGGUAAAUGCUGAUACAAAACCUAGCAAGUAGCAAGACUAGCAGUUUAUAAUAUUUGUGAAGGAUACAAUACAGCUUGUUUAUACUGUAUAUAAUCUAGUGCUAACUGCUCUUUAUGAAACAAAAGCAAAGUACAGAUUACAUGAGCUGCUGUUUAAACUAAUAAACUGGCACUAAAAACAAAAACAAAAGCCAGUGCCUGAAACUAGAAACAAAAUGUAUGAACACAAUGUGUAAAUAACCAUGUACAACAUUUUUUAUGUCUGCUCCAGAAAUAUUGGUGUAAAUAUAAAAUAUAAGUGUUCGACAAAUACAUAUUUAUACCUCGAUUUUAUACGCAUAUCGGCCCCUGACUUUGCCAAUCGAGAAUUAGUCGAAUAAAAGGUAAAAACGUAAAAUUUUCACAAAUCUUACCUUUCAGAAGAAAUAUUCUUCCUUUUAAAGUCUUUACAGCGAAUUUUUGCAUCCACAAGCGGAGAAAAACGGCAUGAUCUUGUCUUGAAAACAUAAAAUAUUUGUGCAAAAAUAGGGGGGCGAAGGCCUUUGUCGGAUGCUUAGGAUCGCGGUUGGUCAGUGGUAAAUGCCAUGAGCCGGAGGAACCAUAUGGCGUCAGCAAACGUGAAAAUCCGCCAUGUUUUUGGCGACACUUUUUUGACUGACGAGAGAUAGGAGCACCUCCUCCAGUAAUUUAGUAAAGCUCAGUGGUCUUUCCGAAAGAAAGAUCCUGGGUACGAGGUUGAAGGCAAACAAGGUAACAGGUGGGCAAUUUGUCUGAGCAUGCGCGAAGAAAAUCAAUAUGGCGACAUAUAUUAGGAGUGUUUCGUGAAUUUAUCUGGUUUUAAAGCAGCUGAUAAAACAACAUUUUAAUGAACGAAAACUUUGUAAUAUUUAGUGGAAAACAUUAAGCUAUGCAUUCCAAAGGUUUUAAAUUGAAAAUAAGUACUUUUGCUUUAUUUUAAUGCUUUUUAUGCUUUGAGAACAGGCAAGCUCAUUUUUUGGCAAAAAUCUAAUCUAAUAUUUUACCCAUCAUUUGUUUAAUCUGAACAGAAAUAGAUAGAACACUUGGCUAUAUAAGUUACAAAGGUAUUGUUAGCUUAUCUGAAAGAUGUCAGUAUUCCUGGUGCACAUUUUAACAAAGAAUGAAAUGUAAUUUCAAAAAUUAAAUAUGCAUAUCACAAACAAUAGUUUUUAUUAGAACAGCACAUAAUAAGUUUUUAUUUUCUAUUUUUACAAAAACAAGUUUGGAAACAGGAUUUAGUCCUCCAGCUUGAUGUCAUAUUCCAUUUAUUUGGAUAUUUCAGUAAAGGAAUGUGAAAUAAUAAUUUAAUCUUGUUCAAAAUUUGAUACCAACACACAUGCAUAUGUGAACAGAUACUAUCACCUAAAAAUAAAAGAAAACAGAACUUAAAUUUAUCAUCUAAUACUAUGAAAAAAAUCUUAGGUUCUACAGGCAUAUAGUGAGCACAAUUCUUUAACAAAACUCACUAAAAUAAGUUAAGUUAUACUAUGAUAAGAGGAUGGCAAUAGAUAACAACAUCAAAUGUAUUAAUGUUGUCAUCUUCAGUGUCCAAAAAAAGUGCCGCGCGCAUUUUUCAUGGUCGCAUAACUGGUAUUGCCACAAACCCAGGUGAAAAAAGAAUUAGAAAAACCUGGUUUUGAGUGAUGAGCAUUGUCAAAUUCUUGACUUAUUCAAAUUUCUAUGUUUUUCCAGGUAAACAGUUUAAACAUUGAAAUAAGUUGCAUUCGGAACUUCAUAGAAUCCAAACUAUUGUGUAUGGACCAGACUUUUUCUAUAAUUCAAGGGUCAACCAGUAUUGUUCAAGACAUGUUAUCUUUCCAAAACUCAUUUUCAAAAUACCAACCCAAGCAUAUCAAAAAUAGUGUACAUUUACAAGGGCAAUUUCAACCCUCUGGCACAUUUUCCCCAUGAAUGAUUUCAAUUCUAAUAGGAAGACUAUAGAUAAAACUUUUAUUAAAAGCUAGUUUCAAAUGAUGAGCAUACCCUAAUUUUUAAGCUAUACCUCAAAGAAGAUGGGCCAUUUCAACAUAAACAUUGAAAUAUGGGUAUACUGACAGCACUGUCACACGUGUAGUUUGACAUUAGCAGCCCUUUUGAAACAUUUUAAUGAAAGUAUAAUUCACAAAAUUCACAUUUUCACUUACUUCCUAACUUGAAAAUUAGUGUUGGUGUAAAUAUCCGAAAUUUAGUGUUGGUGUAAAUAUCCAUUUUAGUUCAUGUUUCCCCGGUGAAAAUAUAGUAGACUAUAUAGACUUCCAACGCUGAUUUCGACGUACUUUAGCUUUUCAGAAACCGCUGGCCUUCCUCAGUGAGAUUAUCAACUGUUUCACAAACAUAUUUGAUAGUAAACAGCUAAAAUAUUCUCCGAAAGUCUGUAUUUUUGCUCUUCGACGCGAAAAUGGCAACUCAAGAAGAAAUGAGCUGAUAUAUUUGCAUAUUUGGUCAGCGUCGACAAAUUGCCCACCUGUUAAACAAGGAUAGUUUUUUUGCAAGAUAUAGGCGAAGGCAAACAAGGAUAGUUUUUUGCAGUCAUGUCAUCCAUAUUUCGUAAUUAAUGUUGUACUUUUCCUACAUUUUUACAUACAACAGUUUGUAAACAAAGAGCGGAUUAACUUGAAUUGCUAUCACAGUGUCAACCCGUCUGCCCAGAGGGCAAAAUCGUAUCCUUUGCCUUUGUUUUGGUCUUUUGACUUUAAAAAUAAGUUAACAUUCUCCUGUGUUACGUCAUUAAAAUAAAUUAAACCGCUAUACCAGUAUUCACCUUUAAUCUUUAUCUAAAGAAAGUAUGUCAUUUAUUUCGAAAUGUACAUCUAUAAAGUAUGACGUUCGACUGCAUAACGUGCAGUGGUGCCUAAAUUACUUUGAAUUUGUACUUGAGUAAAAGUAGAAGUAAUUAACAAUAAAACGACUUGAGUAAGAGUAAAAAGUACUGGAGGCAAAACGUACUUAAGUAAAAAGUACAAAGUCCCCUUAAAAAUACUUGAAGUACAAAGUAAAAGUAAAAGUACUAUUGUCUUUAGCGAGAAGGGGGGUGGGAACUUCUCCAAUGAAUUUACAUACAAAAGACACAAAACAUACAAUAUUUCACAGCAUGGUCCACUUUUCAGACCCCAUUGAAAAUAUAAGAAGUCCAUUAAAUAAAUAAUACUUACAAGUAAGCCACAAACGAGAGAUCCCAGACUCAUGUAGAGGUCCUAUUACUUAUCCCAAAUUUAAAACAAAUCAAGAAUAAAUCACGUAAAAUUAAACAAGAGUUAAAACGUAACGAAAUUCUUCGCCACAAAAUGAAAAUAACGAAGUAAAACGUUAUUUCUUAAGACAACUUCGUUCCAAGUAAAAGUACUGUAGAAAAAGUUUACUUUGUUACAUGCUCACUUCUCAAAACUAAUACUCAAGUACAGUAACGAAGUACAUUUACUUCGUUACAUGACACUACUGAUAACGUGUGUCCAAUUUUCAUCCUGUCCUGCAUGUAUGGUUUGUAUUUUCGUAUGUUCUGUUCCUAUAGCUUAUAAUGAAAUUGCAGUGUUGCCUCGCUGUUCCAUUUACCAUUACCAUGUUUAUAACCUGAGACCAUGUAUGCAUUAUGUGUUAAUAGACCGUUAGUCGUCUAGAACUCAGCUACUAUAUAUUUUAUAUUACCUGACUAAAUAUGCAGUUUCGUCAUUUGUAUCAGCUAGUAUGUGUUGUAUACAUCUUUAAUGGUUUAACUUUUAGUGAGAGUCGAAACGAAUAGGCUAUUUUUGACGAAAUUAAUCGUCCGUGUUUUGUGUAUACGGUGCAUGCGAGCGGCAAUAUUUUUCACACAUGAGUUUGUAGUUUGUACACAAAGAGCGGUUAAUUUCAAUUGCUGACACAUUGCCAAGGUCAAGAUUGUACAAUCGUGUACUUUGUAAUUCUAACUUUGGCAGUGUACGUUUGGACCAUUGAAAUUGUUCCCAAUGCCAGUAUUUCCCUUCACUCCUUUAGUUAAAGUUAGAAUUCUAUUUGCUUUGAAACAGUCUGAUUGGAAUGAUAAAACUUUUUUAGACCUUAAUUUACUGGUAUCGGUCCGAAAAAAAUGUGUUUUACCCGUGAUUUACAGGCAUUUCUCCAGAAAAUUUUUUUUAACCUUGUUUUACUGGUGUUUGUCCGGAAAACGUUUUUGAACCUUUGUUUUUGAAAUGUCCGGAAAAAUCCCCCCGAAUUAAAUAUUUGCCCCGACCCCCCGAAUUUCUCUGUUAGACUCUGUGUACAGCUUGUUGGUAUAUAUCUUGCGCGCAACUUAAUAAUAACAACACACUGGCCCAUGCUAUACCACGGGCUUUAGGACAAAUUCAAUUCGACAACAAUAGUAUUCUAUCUAAAUAGCAGUUAAAAUAAAGUGUACGGCACCUGAACUGUUCAAUAUCUUGCUUCUAUAUCCAUAAAACAUUUACAUAUAUGCAAAUGCUGUAUAUUUUCAAAAUCCGCCAUAUUUAUUUACAUUAGAACCCAAGCUUUCAUGGUUCGCACGAAAUAUUAACGUCGGUGAUUUUCACUAAUAAUAAGAGGGUAGGAUUAAAGUGGGCGUUGUCACUCGCUAACCCAAUCAGCUGUCUGGGUUCUGUACCACGUGGCCUAUUCAAAUCGUUCCGAGCGGGAGGAAUCUUAUGACAUCAUAACGGCUUCGAUAAAAUAAUUUUUGGGACACGUUUGUGCCAUAUAAGGAAGUUGGGGACACGUUUGUGCCAUAUAUGGAAGCAUGGUUUCCUCACGCUUCAAACGAUUGAACAAUUGGAUGAUCCUAUCCUCUUAUUAUUAGUGAAAAUCACCGACGUAAUAUUUCGUGUGAACCGCGAAACGGCGAAAGCUUGGGUUCUAAUGUAAAUAAAUAUGGCGGAUUUUGAAAAUAUAGAACAUUUGCAUAUAUGUAAAUGCUUUAUGGAUACAGAAGCAAGAUAUUGAACAGUUCAAGUGCCGUACACUUUAUUUUAACUGCUAUUUAGAUAGAAUGCUAUUGUUGUCGAAUUGAAUUUGUCCUAAAGCCCGUGGCUGUACCAAAGAUUCUGUUGAGUAUUAUUCUUCAGUGUUUGUCAAUUCUGGACAAAAUUUAUAUCAUGUUAAUGAAAUAUAAAUAAUAUACGUUUUGCAUUCGUAGAUCAUGGAAGCGAUAUGCAGUCACUUUAGACGUCACGGAGGUAUGUUUGUUUAGACUCUGUUGACAUUUUGAAUUUCGUGUGCUUGUGUCAAAAAAUUUCCACAGUACCUUCGCGACUUAUUUUGUUUCAGAUCGAUAUUUUGAGUGAAAUACCCAAAAAUUCUCGGAUGUAUUUACCUAAAUGCGAAGUCCGAAUCACCCGUAAUUGAUUAUUCACUGAUAUAUUGUGCAUGACAAUACACUAGCUACAUGGAAAACCCUAAAAUCUCUGAUGAGUACGAAGUGCCUUGGUACGCACCAUAGAAAUAAUAAAUAUAGAAUGCGUAUACUCCUAUCAUUUCUCAGUAAAAAAUUUGUUUCCAUAAAAUGGCGGAUUUAUAAGGGCAUUUUGGUUCAUCUCAGACUCCUGAGGCAAGGAAUUUCAUGCGGUUGCACUGAGUGCAAAUUGUUUUUUCAACUGCAAAGUUUGCAAAAAAUUUUAUAUCGAGACUUAAAAUGGAAAAAAAGUUUUAUAAAGCAGAAAAAUGUCUAAAAACCCAUUCCAGUGGGCUUUUUUACGAAAAGCUACAGUUUUGAAAAGAACAUAGUCAGAAAUCGUCGUUUAAAAAUAAAUUUUCGACGUUGUUGUGCAAGCCAAAACAAAACACGAAAGAUCAAGACAAUCUCAAACUCAAUACGUAUGUUCUACAAAUAUUUCACAUCUUUUAUAAUAUAAAUGGAGUUCAAUAAUCAUUUUAAUCUUACACAGUUACUUUUCAUAUUUUUCUACGUUGUUUGAGCUUGAGGCAACGCUUUGAAACCAUAGUUUUCGAUGAUUAUUUUAAUAAAAUAUUUAGCCUACAGUUUAUCGACAACUAAAUAUUUUUGUUUGAAGGACAUGCAUGAAAACACUUCGUUUACAUUGAAGAAAAACGAAGCCCGACGAAGGAAGAACUGUCAUUUUGUAAUCUAAUAAGAGUAUUAGUAAAACAGUCUUUGACAGUAGUGACGUUCAGGACAUGCAAAAAUGUUUUAUGUGAGUAAAUUAUAUUUGCGCAAAACUACUUUGUUUUUACAAGGCUGCACGAUUUUCACCGUUUUUGCAACUGCACAUUUGCUUUCACAAUUUGUGCCUUCAAAGAACUCAAAAUCAUUCCCCAAACUACAAAUUAGACAACAGGACGUUUUGACGAUGAAAACGUAGUUUUAGCUUUGUUUAUAUUUUGUUGUUUGCACUCCUAGUCAAAUUUAACAUGGCGGAUUUAUAUGGGCACGAUUCGUGAUCAAGUACGCAUUCUAUAUCUAUUAUUUCUAUGGUGCGCAUCUAUACCAAACAAAUCUUAAAUGGAGUACCCACGUUUUAACAAAAUUAGGCUUUUCUGUUUAGUUUAAUUAUUUUUUUGUUUAUCUAUUUAAUUAUUAUUUAUUGAUUUAAUGUGACGAGCCACCUUUAUAUUCUUUUAAAACGGGUUAGGUUGACAAGAAUACAAGUAGAUAAAUUUAUAUAGAAUAUUAUUCUCAAUGUAGUAGGAGAUCCGAAAGUGGACAAGGUUCGACGGCUUUGGGCUUACAAUUGUACUUCUGGACAAGGUAGAUACGUCUAUAUGACAACUACCGAAGCAGGUAAAAUACCGUUUUAACAACAUUUAAUUUUAUCCUUGACAAGGCGAGAGAUAACUGGUGGCUAGGUAUCUCUCAUGAUGCUGACGUUUUCAUUUUUUAAAAAUUUAC
Molecule: non-coding RNA, 9754 nt
Organism: Paramuricea clavata
Lineage: Eukaryota; Metazoa; Cnidaria; Anthozoa; Malacalcyonacea; Plexauridae
Source: the annotation of a GenBank genome assembly